RNAcentral lists this ribosomal RNA (253 nucleotides) under uncultured bacterium. RNAcentral describes it as "partial 16S ribosomal RNA". It matches the Rfam family "Bacterial small subunit ribosomal RNA", at positions 524 to 776 of the family's 1533-position model. The record is from RNAcentral.
UACAGAGGUCUCAAGCGUUGUUCGGAUUCAUUGGGCGUAAAGGGUGCGUAGGCGGGCAAGCAAGUCCGGGGUGAAAUCCUGCGGCUCAACCGCAGACGGUCGUGGGAAACUGGAAGGCUAGAGUGCGGGAGAGGAGAGUGGAAUUCCCGGUGUAGCGGUGAAAUGCGCAGAUAUCGGGAAGAACACCCGUGGCGAAGGCGGCUCUCUGGAACGCAACUGACGCUGAGACGCGAAAGCGUGGGGAGCAAACAGG